RNAcentral lists this unclassified non-coding RNA (333 nucleotides) under soil metagenome. Its description in RNAcentral is "partial contains 5.8S ribosomal RNA, internal transcribed spacer 2, and large subunit ribosomal RNA". The stretch from base 1 to 120 matches the Rfam family "5.8S ribosomal RNA", at positions 35 to 154 of the family's 154-position model. The record is from RNAcentral.
GAUGAAGAACGUAGCGAAAUGCGAUAAGUAAUGUGAAUUGCAGAAUUCAGUGAAUCAUCGAAUCUUUGAACGCACAUUGCGCCCGCCAGUAUUCUGGCGGGCAUGCCUGUUCGAGCGUCAUUUCAACCAUCAAGCCCCAGGCUUGUGUUGGGGACCUGCGGCUGCCGCAGGCCCUGAAAACCAGUGGCGGGCUCGCUGUCACACCGGGCGUAGUAGAUUUUAUCUCGCUCUGGGCGUGCUGCGGGUUCCGGCCGUUAAAAAACCCUUUUAACCCAAGGUUGACCUCGGAUCAGGUAGGAAUACCCGCUGAACUUAAGCAUAUCAAUAAGCGGA